UACGUAGGUGACCAGCGUUGUCCGGAUUUACUGGGCGUAAAGAGCGCGCAGGCGGUCGUUCAAGUCGAGUGUGAAAGCCCCCGGCUCAACUGGGGAGGGUCAUUCGAUACUGAUCGACUGGAAGGCAGGAGAGGUAAGCGGAAUUCCUGGUGUAGCGGUGAAAUGCGUAGAUAUCAGGAGGAACACCUGUGGUGUAGACAGCUUACUGGACCAUUUCUGACGCUGAGACACGAAAGCGUGGGUAGCAAACAGG
This 253-nucleotide ribosomal RNA is filed under the name uncultured bacterium. RNAcentral's name for it is "partial 16S ribosomal RNA". It matches the Rfam family "Bacterial small subunit ribosomal RNA", at positions 524 to 776 of the family's 1533-position model. The record is from RNAcentral.